RNAcentral lists this transfer RNA (72 nucleotides) under Stegodyphus mimosarum. It matches the Rfam family "tRNA". Rfam says of the family: Transfer RNA (tRNA) molecules are approximately 80 nucleotides in length. Their secondary structure includes four short double-helical elements and three loops (D, anti-codon, and T loops). The record is from Rfam by way of RNAcentral. Lineage: Eukaryota; Metazoa; Arthropoda; Arachnida; Araneae; Eresidae.
GCAUUCGUGGUGUAGUGGUCAGCACGUUCGACCCGUAACCGAGAGGCCCUUGUUCGAUUCUCGGCGAAGACG